RNAcentral lists this ribosomal RNA (1151 nucleotides) under Gelatinomyces siamensis. RNAcentral describes it as "bacterial SSU rRNA". It matches the Rfam family "Eukaryotic small subunit ribosomal RNA", at positions 47 to 1116 of the family's 1831-position model. Lineage: Eukaryota; Fungi; Ascomycota; Leotiomycetes. The record is from RNAcentral.
GACCAGGUCAGGUCUAAGUUCAAGCAUCCUAUACCGUGGAACUGGCGAAUGGGCUCAUUAAAUCAGUUAUCGUUUAUUUGAUAGUACCUUACUACUUGGAUAACCGUGGUAAUUCUAGAGCUAAUACAUAGCUAAAAACCCCGACUCCGGGAGGGGUGUAUUUAUUAGAUAAAAAACCGAUGCCCUCCGGGGCUCUCUGGUGAUUCAUGAUAACUUAACGAAUCGCAUGGCCUUGUGCCGGCGAUGGUUCAUUCAAAUUUCUGCCCUAUCAACUUUCGAUGGUAGGAUAGUGGCCUACCAUGGUUUCGACGGGUAACGGGGAAUUAGGGUUCUAUUCCGGAGAGGGAGCCUGAGAAACGGCUACCACAUCCAAGGAAGGCAGCAGGCGCGCAAAUUACCCAAUCCCGACACGGGGAGGUAGUGACAAUAAAUACUGAUAUGGAGCUCUUUUGGGUUUCAUAAUUGGAAUGAGUACAAUUUAAAUCCCUUAACGAGGAACAAUUGGAGGGCAAGUCUGGUGCCAGCAGCCGCGGUAAUUCCAGCUCCAAUAGCGUAUAUUAAAGUUGUUGCAGUUAAAAAGCUCGUAGUUGAACCUUGGGCCUGGCUGGCCGGUCCGCCUCACCGCGUGCACUGGUCCGGCCGGGCCUUUCCUUCUGGGGAGCCGCAUGCCCUUCACUGGGUGUGCCGGGGAACCAGGACUUUUACUUUGAAAAAAUUAGAGUGUUCAAAGCAGGCCUAUGCUCGAAUACAUUAGCAUGGAAUAAUAGAAUAGGACGUGUGGUUCUAUUUUGUUGGGUUUCUAGGACCGCCGUACUGAUUAAUAGGGAUAGUCGGGGGCAUCAGUAUUCAAUUGUCAGAGGUGAAAUUCUUGGAUUUAUUGAAGACUAACUACUGAGAAAGCAUCAGCCGAGGAUGUUUUCAUUUAUUCAGUGUACUAAAGCUAAGAGGAGCCGACGACGAUCAGAUACGGUCGUAGUCUGACCAUAACUAUGCUACUAGGGAUCGAGCGAUGUACGAUUAUGAUACCCUCGUUACCUGCCUCAAUCCAAGUACUAGGAUUCAGGUGGGUGGUUCGUGGGCUGGUGGUUAUCUGUCGUAACUGAUAAAAAAAAGCGGGCGAUAUUUGCAGACUAUCAACACAACACAUAACA